RNAcentral lists this small nucleolar RNA (107 nucleotides) under Gossypium barbadense (sea-island cotton). RNAcentral's name for it is "Plant small nucleolar RNA R71". It matches the Rfam family "Plant small nucleolar RNA R71". From Rfam's summary of the family: R71 is a member of the C/D box family of snoRNAs containing the C (UGAUGA) and D (CUGA) box motifs. Multiple nearly identical copies of this snoRNA have been identified in Arabidopsis, and it is thought to function as a 2'-O-ribose methylation guide for 18S ribosomal RNA. The record is from Rfam by way of RNAcentral. Lineage: Eukaryota; Viridiplantae; Streptophyta; Magnoliopsida; Malvales; Malvaceae. RNAcentral also lists the same sequence under 2 other names.
AAUCCAUAGUGCAGGCAUUUCUGGAUCAAUGUUUUAAAAUGUUCCCAAGCGUCAUGAAAACUUUCCCCUUCUAACUGUCUAAAUACAACAAUUUCUCUUCUUAGUUG